RNAcentral lists this ribosomal RNA (497 nucleotides) under uncultured bacterium. RNAcentral describes it as "partial 16S ribosomal RNA". It matches the Rfam family "Bacterial small subunit ribosomal RNA", at positions 28 to 507 of the family's 1533-position model. The record is from RNAcentral.
GACGAACGCUGGCGGCGUGCCUAAUACAUGCAAGUUGAGCGCUGAAGGUUGGUCCUUGUACCAACUGGUUGAGCAGCGAACGGGUGAGUAACGCGUGGGGAAUCUGCCUUUGAGCGGGGGACAACAUUUGGAAACGAAUGCUAAUACCGCAUAAAAACUUUAAACACAAGUUUUAAGUUUGAAAGAUGCAAUUGCAUCACUCAAAGAUGAUCCCGCGUUGUAUUAGCUAGUUGGUGAGGUAAAGGCUCACCAAGGCGAUGAUACAUAGCCGACCUGAGAGGGUGAUCGGCCACAUUGGGACUGAGACACGGCCCAAACUCCUACGGGAGGCAGCAGUAGGGAAUCUUCGGCAAUGGACGAAAGUCUGACCGAGCAACGCCGCGUGAGUGAAGAAGGUUUUCGGAUCGUAAAACUCUGUUGGUAGAGAAGAACGUUGGUGAGAGUGGAAAGCUCAUCAAGUGACGGUAACUACCCAGAAAGGGACGGCUAACUACGUG